Long non-coding RNA from Cynara cardunculus var. scolymus (artichoke), 800 nucleotides. RefSeq lists it as uncharacterized. Lineage: Eukaryota; Viridiplantae; Streptophyta; Magnoliopsida; Asterales; Asteraceae. The transcript is spliced from 3 exons. The record is from RefSeq and is a predicted model, not a curated record.
CCCAAAUUAAGCUUUCUUCCAAAGAUUCAUGUGUACAAUAAUUGCAGGUUUUGAUCAGCCUAUUCAAAAUUCAAAAUUGUUGCUUCAUCCAAGGAUUAUUCUUCCCAACAAAUCUCCUUCAACUUAUCUGUAACCUUCUCCACUCCAACCAUCUCCAUCUCUCUUUCUCCACCUCUACUCACCGUGACUUGAUUUACCAUUUCUUGACUAUGUGUGUUCACCUCAGCUCAUAGGGAAUGGUUUUCUAAUUCAUGAUCACCAGUACACAUUCGAAAUGAUCUUCAAGGGACUGAGGGAGAAGUAAAGAAGAAUUUUUUUUACCUCUGUUGACUGUUGAGAAAAACCAGUGGAGUCGACAGAAGAAUUUUUUUACCUCUGUUACCAUGCUACCGGCGUAGCUGUCGCCGUCGCUGCCGCUGCGCUGCCGCCGUAGCUGAUGUAUCGCCGAUUAGGGUAGGGAGAGCCGAAGAGGGAGUCGUAUUUUGUCAAUAGGGAUUUUGAUUUCUGAGUUGGAAGGAGACGAUGGGCAAAUACAAUGGGUUGGACGGGCCGGAAAGUUUGAUUGAGUCGCCGGAAAUCUUCGAAUGGCGCCGCUGAGACGGCCGGAAAAAAGUUUGUUGUCUUCUACAUUUGCCUUCUUCUUCUUCUAAUUCUUGUCUUCUUCUGAAAUCAAAACAAAAACAAAUUUCUCGUGUUUUCUUCCAAUAAACACCAGCCAUUCCAAACGAGCUUCCCAACUUACUCCAACACCAUUUUCAAAGCUUCAAAAGAUGGAUGGAGAUAUUAAAGUCCCACUCUCU